CUACUGGGUGCUGCAGUGGGGAAUAUUGGACAAUGGGCGCGAGCCUGAUCCAGCAAUGCCGCGUGAGUGAAGACGGCCUUAGGGUUGUAAAACUCUUUCGCUAGGGAAGAUAAUGACUGUACCUAGUAAAGAAGUCCCGGCUAACUCCGUGCCAGCAGCCGCGGUAAUACGGAGGGGACUAGCGUUGUUCGGAAUUACUGGGCGUAAAGAGUUCGUAGGCGGACUGACAAGUUAGAGGUGAAAUCCCAGGGCUCAACCCUGGAACUGCCUUUAAAACUGUCAGUCUAGAGACCGGAAGAGGUUAGGGGAAUACCUAGUGUAGAGGUGAAAUUCGUAGAUAUUAGGUGGAACACCAGUGGCGAAGGCGCCUAACUGGUCCGGUACUGACGCUGAGGAACGAAAGCGUGGGGAGCAAACAGGAUUAGAUACCCCGGUAGUC
This 439-nucleotide ribosomal RNA is filed under the name uncultured bacterium. Its description in RNAcentral is "partial 16S ribosomal RNA". It matches the Rfam family "Bacterial small subunit ribosomal RNA", at positions 339 to 795 of the family's 1533-position model. The record is from RNAcentral.